RNAcentral lists this unclassified non-coding RNA (81 nucleotides) under Halpernia frigidisoli. RNAcentral describes it as "Chryseobacterium frigidisoli Flavo-1 RNA". The record is from RNAcentral. Lineage: Bacteria; Pseudomonadati; Bacteroidota; Flavobacteriia; Flavobacteriales; Weeksellaceae.
UCUGCGCCCCGACUUGAGUGGAACUCUUUUUUGUGCAGCGCAGCGAAACAAAAAAAGUGGGAACGGAAGGCGGAUAAAGGC